GUAAUGAGUGGGAUGACUAUUCUACUUAUGCAAAUACUGAUGGAGUUGAGAUGGCAUUGGUAAGUGUUUAUCCUUGGUAAAAAAAUAAUUUUGUUUAUGGCUCAUGGUUAGGUUUAGAUGCCAUUUUAAUCUCUAUUUCCUUGAAGAUUCGAAUUUUGACAGUUAAUGUGCAUAUCUCACUUGGCAGGGAGUUUACGGGGACAAUGGGUCUGUUAUGUAUCACAAUGCCUAUGGAUAUGCACCCUAUGGACCAUAUUCACCUGCAGCUUCCACAUCCCAACAUUGGAAAAUGAUGGCGAGCUAUAUGGGCCUUAGCACUGCCAGUAUCCUUCUUGUUUCCAGCCACUUACACCAAACAGUGGACCAUUUCACUUCUAGUCAAGCAACCUCUUCUCAAGGGGAGCUUUCUUCCUCCACAACCCCUGACCAAAUGCCUUUGCCUGCUGAAACCGCCAAAGGGAAUCCUAGUAGCAUUGGCAAUGGUGGAGUGAAGGGAAACAAUAGUUCAACUCCAUUUAAACCAACAUAUCAAAAAUUUUCACUGAAUAUGAAUGAUACAAAUGGAAGGGGUAUUUUGC
RNAcentral lists this unclassified non-coding RNA (578 nucleotides) under Hevea brasiliensis (rubber tree). Lineage: Eukaryota; Viridiplantae; Streptophyta; Magnoliopsida; Malpighiales; Euphorbiaceae. The record is from RNAcentral.